Molecule: long non-coding RNA, 988 nt
Filed under: Heterocephalus glaber (naked mole-rat)
Lineage: Eukaryota; Metazoa; Chordata; Mammalia; Rodentia; Bathyergidae
Description: lncRNA (ENSHGLG00000034015.1)
Source: RNAcentral
GUCACACGCCCUGGGUAAUGGGGCCUGGUAUUUCAAGCUCUCUUUGGGGACUGGGAAUAUAGCGGAAAGUCUUAGAGUGCUGUUCUGGGCAUGGCUUUGUGACUAACUAGCCUGCAACCUUAGUCCAGGAACCUAUUCUGUGACUCUUUUCUUACCUGUGGAAUAAUAGGCUAGGUGAGUUCUAAGUUUCACAAGUAUGCAAUGCAUUUUCUGUUUUUCAGAGUGAACUAAUACGAGAAACCAACUCUGUAGAUGACAAGGUUAAUGAAAAUCUUAGACAGAUUGAUUGAGGACAUUGCAGCAGCCACAGAGACGUGAAAGAGGACUGCUGGAACUGCUUCAGAAGGCAGCAAGACCCGCGGGAGAACUGUCUGAAGUGAGGGAGGAAUACUUUGCGGGUGAUUAGUGGCGGAGAUCCAGCCCAUACCUGCUGUGACUACGGCAAGACCAGAAGUCGCUGUCAGGCGGUGGCACCCUGCACCCUGUUCCCGUGAUCAGAGCACCCUUGAUUGUGAGGACCCCCCUGUCUGGGGGCUGGACGUGGCCCUCGCUGUGUGGUUGGCCCUGCUGGCCCUAGUGCAAACACCGGGUGCUCAGAAUGUGUCAAGCUUUCAUUGUCCACAACACGGAAGGGCAGAGACAAGAUGAGGAACAAGGAUGCAGGUCAUUGGUGACCAGAACACAAAUGCUUCCAUUAUUUCAUUCUUCCCCGAAGUCUGUGAUCGACUGGGGCAGGAGAUGCUCUGGGUUUUACAGAUGGAGACGCUAAGGUCCCAAGAAGGUGACCAUGCCAGUUGGCACAGCAAGCUACUAAGCUGGCACUGGGAUGGUGGUGGUUGUGGCUCUACCUCACCGAGCACAGGUCUCCAGUUGCAGUUGUCACAUUUCAAGGGCUCAAUAGCCACAUGUGCAUCUUAGUGGAAGCCCCACCUGGAUCAAGGCAUGAGAACAUAAACACCGCCUCUCGAUGGGAGAAGGGCCAAGCUGG